Molecule: RNase P RNA, 404 nt
Filed under: Rickettsia endosymbiont of Sericostoma sp. HW-2014
Lineage: Bacteria; Pseudomonadati; Pseudomonadota; Alphaproteobacteria; Rickettsiales; Rickettsiaceae
Description: RNase P RNA component class A
Rfam family: Bacterial RNase P class A
About the family: Ribonuclease P (RNase P) is a ubiquitous endoribonuclease, found in archaea, bacteria and eukarya as well as chloroplasts and mitochondria. Its best characterised activity is the generation of mature 5'-ends of tRNAs by cleaving the 5'-leader elements of precursor-tRNAs. Cellular RNase Ps are ribonucleoproteins.
Source: RNAcentral
CUAGAUGGUCGUGCAGUUGCGUAAAAAUCUAUACUAGAAUUUACGAGGAAAGUCCGGACUCUACAGAGGUAUGGUGCUGGUUAACGUCCAGCGGGAGAGUAAUCUUUUAGGGAAAGUGCCGCAGAAAAUAUACCGCCAAAUUAUAAUUUAACAUAGUUUGGUAAGGGUGAAAUGGUGUGGUAAGAGCACACCGGUAGGUUGGUAACAAGCUACGCAUGGUAAACCCCACCAAGAGCAAGAUCAAAUAGGCACUACAGAACUUACGUGUUCCUAGGCAUCUCUGGCUAGAAGUAGUGCGGGUAGAUCGCUUGAGGUAAAUGGUAACAUUUAUCCUAGAUAAAUAACUGCAAUAGAUAAUAGAAAUAUUAUCUAUACAAAAUCCGGCUUACAGACCAUCAUUUGGU